GAUGAACGCUGGCGGCGUGCCUAACACAUGCAAGUCGAGCGAACAGACGAGGAGCUUUCGCCCCUGACGUUAGCGGCGGACGGGAGAGUAACACGUGGAUAACCUACCUAUAAGACUGGGAUAAUAACGGGAAACAGGAGCUAAUACCGGAUAAUAUAUUGAACCGGAUGGUGCAAUAGUUAAAGACGCUUUUGCUGACAGUAAUAGACGAAUCCGGGCCGCAUUAGCUAGUUGGUAAGGUAACGGCUUACCAAGGCAACGAUGCGUAGCCGACCUGAGAGGGUGAUCAGCCACACUGGAACUGAGACACGGUCCAGACUCCUACGGGAGGCAGCAGUCGGGAAUCUUCCGCAAUGGGCGAAAGCUUGACGGAGCAACACCGCGUGAGUGAUGAAGGUCUUCGGAUCGUAAAACUCUGUUAUUAGGGAAGAACAAAUGUGUAUUUACCUAUGCACGUCUUGACGGUACCUAAUCAGUAAGCCCCGGCUAACUACGUG
Molecule: ribosomal RNA, 497 nt
Filed under: uncultured bacterium
Lineage: Bacteria
Description: partial 16S ribosomal RNA
Rfam family: Bacterial small subunit ribosomal RNA
Source: RNAcentral